RNAcentral lists this ribosomal RNA (253 nucleotides) under uncultured bacterium. RNAcentral's name for it is "partial 16S ribosomal RNA". It matches the Rfam family "Bacterial small subunit ribosomal RNA", at positions 524 to 776 of the family's 1533-position model. The record is from RNAcentral.
UACGUAGGGACCAAGCGUUGUUCGGAUUUACUGGGCGUAAAGGGUGCGUAGGUGGCGUCGUAAGUCAGGUGUGAAAUCUCGGGGCUCAACCCCGAAACUGCACUUGAUACUGCGAUGCUUGAGUACUGGAGAGGAGAUUGGAAUUUACGGUGUAGCAGUGAAAUGCGUAGAUAUCGUAAGGAAGACCAGUGGCGAAGGCGAAUCUCUGGACAGUUACUGACACUGAGGCACGAAGGCCAGGGGAGCAAACGGG